This 301-nucleotide ribosomal RNA is filed under the name uncultured bacterium. RNAcentral's name for it is "partial 16S ribosomal RNA". It matches the Rfam family "Bacterial small subunit ribosomal RNA", at positions 509 to 807 of the family's 1533-position model. The record is from RNAcentral.
CAGCCGCCGCGGUAAUACAGAGGGUGCGAGCGUUAAUCGGAAUUACUGGGCGUAAAGGGCGCGUAGGCGGUUAGGAAGGUGUGAUGUGAAAUCCCCGGGCUUAACCUGGGAACUGCAUUUGUGACUGGCGAGCUAGAGUAUGGCAGAGGGGGGUAGAAUUCCACGUGUAGCAGUGAAAUGCGUAGAGAUGUGGAGGAAUACCGAUGGCGAAGGCAGCCCCCUGGGCCAAUACUGACGCUCAUGCACGAAAGCGUGGGGAGCAAACAGGAUUAGAGACCCGUGUAGUCCCUGUCUCUUAUAC